RNAcentral lists this ribosomal RNA (465 nucleotides) under uncultured bacterium. Its description in RNAcentral is "partial 16S ribosomal RNA". It matches the Rfam family "Bacterial small subunit ribosomal RNA", at positions 28 to 507 of the family's 1533-position model. The record is from RNAcentral.
GAUGAACGCUGGCGGCGUGCUUAACACAUGCAAGUCGAACGAUGAAGCCCAGCUUGCUGGGUGGAUUAGUGGCGAACGGGUGAGUAACACGUGAGUAACCUGCCCUUAACUCUGGGAUAAGCCUGGGAAACUGGGUCUAAUACCGGAUAGGAGCGUCCACCGCAUGGUGGGUGUUGGAAAGAUUUAUCGGUUUUGGAUGGACUCGCGGCCUAUCAGCUUGUUGGUGAGGUAAUGGCUCACCAAGGCGACGACGGGUAGCCGGCCUGAGAGGGUGACCGGCCACACGGGGACCGAGAACCGGCCCAGACUCCUACGGGAGGCAGCGGUGGGGAAUAUUGCACAAUGGGCGCAAGCCUGAUGCAGCGACGCCGCGUGGGGGAUGACGGCCUUCGGGUUGUAAACCUCUUUCAGUAGGGAAGAAGCGAAAGUGACGGUACCUGCAGAAGAAGCACCGGCUACUACGUG